RNAcentral lists this ribosomal RNA (344 nucleotides) under Stylocheiron sp. USNM IZ 1449930. RNAcentral describes it as "SSU rRNA". It matches the Rfam family "Eukaryotic small subunit ribosomal RNA", at positions 60 to 381 of the family's 1831-position model. Lineage: Eukaryota; Metazoa; Arthropoda; Malacostraca; Euphausiacea; Euphausiidae. The record is from RNAcentral.
UAAGUACAGGCCUAAGUAAGGCGAAACCGCGAAUGGCUCAUUAAAUCAGUUAUGGUUCAUUGGAUCUUACCCUUUCUUACUUGGAUAACUGUGGUAAUUCUAGAGCUAAUACAUGCCAACCAGUAGCUCCGACACACUCCCGUGUGGAAGAGCGCUUUUAUUAGAUCAAAACCAGUCCUCCCUCGGGAGGUCAAACCCCUUCGUGGUGACUCUGAAUAACUUUUAGCUGAGCGCACGGUCUCCGCGCCGGCGCCGCAUCUUUCAAGUGUCUGCCUUAUCAGCUUUCGAUUGUAGGUUAUGCGCCUACAAUGGCUAUAACGGGUAACGGGGAAUCAGGGUUCGAU